Long non-coding RNA from Bombus huntii, 315 nucleotides. RefSeq lists it as uncharacterized. The record is from RefSeq and is a predicted model, not a curated record. Lineage: Eukaryota; Metazoa; Arthropoda; Insecta; Hymenoptera; Apidae. The transcript has 2 exons.
AACAAAGUGUAAAAUGUAUGUUCAAUAUAGUACUUCAAUAUAAAUAUUCGUUUACAUUGUUAACACACAUUCAACUUCAUUCCACUCUAAAUUCUUAAUUAAGUGAGGAAAUGUAAGCAUAAAAGUUUCAAAAAGAAAUUAUGCGAGAAAAAUCAUUUUGGGGCAGAAACAACAAUCAGGAUACCACAAGCAGUUAGCAUCAGUAGCAACCAAGAGUAACCAGCGACAAAAUCUUCUUAGAAAUGAUUAUAUAGUACAAUAAGAAAUAAGAUUAUUUAUUGUAAGAUGAUUAUACAAAAUGUAUUUUGAAUGAGU